AUGUCAGCUCUCCGUCUGUGCAAGGGAGCCGUCGAGUCGUCGCCGCCGGGGUGCCGGUGCUGGUCGGGAUGCUCGAGGUCGAGGAACCUUGUCGCCGCUGCUGCCGCGUCCUCCUGCGCCCCGAGAGGGGCUGCCGCCGUCGCGUGCUGCCGGAACAAGCAGCAGGGGAGCUUCCGCUUGGUGCGUGCGGCUCCUUCCUUCGGCAGAAGCAGCAGGGGGAUGCAAUGGGCCAUCAAGACUAUGGCAGACGACAAUCCAGACAAUUCUGGCAAUAGCACUCGGCUGUUUAAUGCAAUUCAAUCUUUUUUAAAGAAGUUGUCUGGCAAGCUGAAGAAAGUAAGUAGAGGGUUUCCAGUAAAGAUCCUAUUCUUCCUGAUAGGAUUUUACUGUGCCACGGCAUUUGCUACCGUCAUCGGGCAAACAGGCGACUGGGACAUACUUUCUGCCGGCCUUGCUGUUGCCAUCGUCGAGGUUAUUGGCGCUCUCAUGUACAGGGCUUCCUUUGCGCUUCUUGGCAGGAUGAAGAAUAUGAUUUCCAUAUUCAAUUACUGGAAAGCCGGGCUCACGCUUGGAUUGUUCUUGGAUUCGUUCAAAUUUUAG
This 600-nucleotide ribosomal RNA is filed under the name Triticum aestivum (bread wheat). RNAcentral's name for it is "partial small subunit ribosomal RNA". Lineage: Eukaryota; Viridiplantae; Streptophyta; Magnoliopsida; Poales; Poaceae. The record is from RNAcentral.